This is a long non-coding RNA of Quercus robur (English oak), 1704 nucleotides long. RefSeq lists it as uncharacterized. NCBI's taxonomy places the organism in Eukaryota, Viridiplantae, Streptophyta, Magnoliopsida, Fagales, Fagaceae. The transcript is spliced from 3 exons. The record is from RefSeq and is a predicted model, not a curated record.
UGGCUGGCGGGGCCCGUGGGUGCCCGAUGGGCUGGGUUUGGAGUGAAGAAAAAAAUCCGUUUAAUAAACGGGCCGGGACCGGGUUUCUGGGACAGACCCGCGGGUCGGGUUCGGGUAUGGAAAAACCUGGCCUGAACCCGACCUGUUGCCAUUCCUAAUUGUAUAGUGGAUUUUAGUUUGUGUAUGCUAGUAUUUGCUAUACCAAUGGUCAUUUGGCCUUGAUGUGGGUGGAUAUAAUCUAACAAAAUCUAUCAGGGUGAGAUGCAGGAUAACUUGGAUAUAUCUUCUUGCCCAUGUCACACAUCUGUCUGAAUGGAUCUCCUGUCCAUAACUGAGAUUCCAUCCUUUUUUUUUUUUAAAAGAAAAAUAAGUAUAUAGGAGUAUUAAAAGGUAGGAUUUUGGUGCUAUGGCUAGUGCCCUCUAAGUGUAUAGGAGUAUUACAAGUAUGUUCUCUUGGGAAUUUAUAUCAUACUUCAUUGUUAUUUAUCUGUAAUAUUACUCCACUUAAAAGAAAUAAGGCACAAUAAGUUUUAAUGUCCACUAUAAUUUAUCUAAAGCAUUUGGAACAUGGGGCAUUCUAAGUAUUGUAUAUGAGGAGUAUUUUAAGUUAAGAAAGACACAUUGGAGUUAAGUGUAGGCUUUUGCACUUCUUUUAAAACUCUGUAAGUUAUGCAUAGUUCCAGAAGUAUAAUUGAUUGCUUUGUGAUAUUAUUAACUGGCAUUUGUUUGUAUCUCUGAUAUGAAUGUUUGAUGGUAUAUUAAUUCUUACAGUCUACAUAAUUUUUUUCCCAGAAUUCAAAGGAUUAUGCUGUUCUGGGUGCAUCCUCAAAAAUUGCUGCAGUUCUUCUGACAUAUCCAUUCCAAGUAGGCAUUUGUCUUGCAUGGUGUUAGACCAUGAAUUGUUGAUUUCAUUUGUUAGUUGAUCAUUGCUUCUUAUAUGGUUAGGUGACUUGAUUUUCCAGGUUGUAAGAGCUCAAUUGCAGGUUUGACAAUGUGACCCUUUAAUUCCUUUUUGUCUCUGUAUAUGUUGUGUAAUUAUCAAACAUAUUGAAGGAAGAUGAUUGAUCCAUUCAUCAUAACUAUUAAAGUUUCCCCUUGAAAUAUUGCAUAGCCUUUAGUUUCAUUUGUAUUUUUUAUUAAUGGAUGGAAUUUGGUCAUAUCUGUUUCCCUCAGCAGCAAAGACCUAGUAGUGAUGGAAUUCCAAGAUACAUGGAUAGCUAGCAUGUUGUGAAGGAAACUGCACGGUUAGCGGGUGUUCAAGGUUUUUACAAGGGCAUUACACCAAACCUCCUAAAGAAUGUUCCUGUUAGAAGGGAACCGGCCUACAACAAAUUGGCCAUCUGUGGGUAAAGUUGAGAUACAUGAUUUGCAGAUCAGAUAUAGGCCUGAUGCACCACUUGUUCUUCGGGGGAUCAAUUGCACAUUUGAGGGAGGGCACAAAAUAGGUAUUGUUGGCAGAACUGGCAGUGGGAAGAUUAUAGUAGAUGGAAUUGACAAAUGUCAUUGUGAGUUAGCAAAUAAUAAAAUGUUGUUGUGAGUUAGUUGUACUUGUAUUACUUGCAUGUAGUUCCCCAAAUAAAAGUGUCUUACUGUAAAUAUUUUUGUACUGCCUUUCAUGAUCUCAAAUUUUGAACAAACCUUAAGUUAUUGAACAAAUCAACAUGAGGUUCAAUUAAGAUUCAAUGUUUUACAUUUAUUUUCAUU